RNAcentral lists this unclassified non-coding RNA (21 nucleotides) under Chlamydomonas reinhardtii. Its description in RNAcentral is "small RNA Cre_3693". The record is from RNAcentral. Lineage: Eukaryota; Viridiplantae; Chlorophyta; Chlorophyceae; Chlamydomonadales; Chlamydomonadaceae.
UGUUUAGGAAGGAUCCUGCGG